RNAcentral lists this ribosomal RNA (671 nucleotides) under Bacillus cereus. RNAcentral describes it as "bacterial SSU rRNA". It matches the Rfam family "Bacterial small subunit ribosomal RNA", at positions 88 to 744 of the family's 1533-position model. The record is from RNAcentral. Lineage: Bacteria; Bacillati; Bacillota; Bacilli; Caryophanales; Bacillaceae.
GAAGUUAGCGGCGGACGGGUGAGUAACACGUGGGUAACCUGCCCAUAAGACUGGGAUAACUCCGGGAAACCGGGGCUAAUACCGGAUAACAUUUUGAACUGCAUGGUUCGAAAUUGAAAGGCGGCUUCGGCUGUCACUUAUGGAUGGACCCGCGUCGCAUUAGCUAGUUGGUGAGGUAACGGCUCACCAAGGCAACGAUGCGUAGCCGACCUGAGAGGGUGAUCGGCCACACUGGGACUGAGACACGGCCCAGACUCCUACGGGAGGCAGCAGUAGGGAAUCUUCCGCAAUGGACGAAAGUCUGACGGAGCAACGCCGCGUGAGUGAUGAAGGCUUUCGGGUCGUAAAACUCUGUUGUUAGGGAAGAACAAGUGCUAGUUGAAUAAGCUGGCACCUUGACGGUACCUAACCAGAAAGCCACGGCUAACUACGUGCCAGCAGCCGCGGUAAUACGUAGGUGGCAAGCGUUAUCCGGAAUUAUUGGGCGUAAAGCGCGCGCAGGUGGUUUCUUAAGUCUGAUGUGAAAGCCCACGGCUCAACCGUGGAGGGUCAUUGGAAACUGGGAGACUUGAGUGCAGAAGAGGAAAGUGGAAUUCCAUGUGUAGCGGUGAAAUGCGUAGAGAUAUGGAGGAACACCAGUGGCGAAGGCGACUUUCUGGUCUGUAACUGAC